RNAcentral lists this ribosomal RNA (325 nucleotides) under uncultured bacterium. Its description in RNAcentral is "bacterial SSU rRNA". It matches the Rfam family "Bacterial small subunit ribosomal RNA", at positions 28 to 334 of the family's 1533-position model. The record is from RNAcentral.
GAUGAACGCUGGCGGCGUGCUUAACACAUGCAAGUCGAACGGGGUGCUCAUGACGGAGGAUUCGUCCAACGGAUUGAGUUACCUAGUGGCGGACGGUGAGUAACGCGUGAGGAACCUGCCUUGGAGAGGGGGACAACAGUUGGAAACGACUGCUAAUACCGCAUAAGCCCACGACCCGGCAUCGGGUUGAGGGAAAAGGAGCAAUCCGCUUUGAGAUGGCCUCGCGUCCGAUUAGCUAGUUGGUGAGGUAACGGCCCACCAAGGCAACGAUCGGUAGCCGGACUGAGAGGUUGAACGGCCACAUUGGGACUGAGACACGGCCCAG